UCUGAAGGACGGAACACAAUUUGAUGGCAGUAUCCCUUGAGGAGAACCAUUUGUGUUUACAUUAGGAGUGGGACAAGUUAUCAAAGGAUGGGAUCAAGGACUAUUAAAUAUGUGUGAAGGAGAAAA
This is a non-coding RNA of Pocillopora verrucosa, 126 nucleotides long. Lineage: Eukaryota; Metazoa; Cnidaria; Anthozoa; Scleractinia; Pocilloporidae. The record is from RefSeq and is a predicted model, not a curated record.